UUAGGAAUCUUGCACAAUGGGCGAAAGCCUGAUGCAGCGACGCCGCGUGGAGGAGGAAGUCCUUCGGGAUGUAAACUCCUUUUGGGGGAGACGAAUAAACUGACGGUAUCCCCUGAAUAAGCCCCGGCUAACUACGUGCCAGCAGCCGCGGUAAUACGUAGGGGGCGAGCGUUGUCCGAAGUUACUGGGCGUAAAGCGCGCGUAGGCGGGCUGGUAAGUCGGAAGUGAAAGGCUGGGGCUCAACCUCAUGCAGUGCUUCCGAUACUGCCAGUCUUGAGGGCGGUAGAGAGAGGUGGAAUGGCUGGUGUAGCGGUGAAAUGCGUAGAUAUCAGUCGGAACACCGGUGGCGAAGGCGGCCUCUUGGGCCGUUCCUGACGCUGAGGCGCGAAAGCCAGGGGAGCGAACGGG
RNAcentral lists this ribosomal RNA (408 nucleotides) under uncultured bacterium. RNAcentral's name for it is "bacterial SSU rRNA". It matches the Rfam family "Bacterial small subunit ribosomal RNA", at positions 355 to 776 of the family's 1533-position model. The record is from RNAcentral.